UACGGAGGAUCCGAGCGUUAUCCGGAUUUAUUGGGUUUAAAGGGUGCUCAGGCGGGGGAUUAAGUCGGCGGUGAAAUUUUGCAGCUCAACUGUAAAAGUGCCUUCGAAACUGGUUUCCUUGAGUGUGGAUGAAGUAGGCGGAAUUUGUGGUGUAGCGGUGAAAUGCAUAGAUAUCACGAGGAACUCCGAUUGCGCAGGCAGCUUACUAAACCAUAACUGACGCUCAGGCACGAAGGCGUGGGGAUCAAACAGGAUUAGAUACCCGGGUAGUCCCU
RNAcentral lists this ribosomal RNA (275 nucleotides) under uncultured prokaryote. Its description in RNAcentral is "partial 16S ribosomal RNA". It matches the Rfam family "Bacterial small subunit ribosomal RNA", at positions 524 to 798 of the family's 1533-position model. The record is from RNAcentral.